This 75-nucleotide non-coding RNA is filed under the name unclassified sequences. RNAcentral describes it as "skipping-rope RNA". It matches the Rfam family "skipping-rope RNA". From Rfam's summary of the family: Firmicutes, Fusobacteria, AlphaProteobacteria, Spirochaetes. Downstream gene The record is from Rfam by way of RNAcentral.
AGCAUUAGAGGAUAGAAAUGGCAGCUAUCGCACAUUAUGUUAUGAGAUGCAGGAAUUGUCGCCCUGCCUAAUGUA